AGCGAACGCUGGCGGCGUGGAUUAGGCAUGCAAGUCGAACGAGUCUGGUUUGGUCGUAAGACUGAGCCAGAUGAGUGGCGAAAGGGAGAGUACAAAACAGGUAACGUACCCUGGACACCGGGACAGUCCGUCGAAAGACGGGUUAAUACCGGGCGAUGUCCCGACCUUUAUGGGUUGGGAUCAUAGGGCGGGGACCCUUCGGGGCCUGUCGGUCUGGGAGCGGCCUGUUUCCUAUCAGCUAGUUGGUGAGGUAAUGGCUCACCAAGGCGAUGACGGGUAGCCGGCCUUAGCGGGUGUUCGGCCUCACUGGGACUGAGACACUGCCCAGACACCUACGGGUGGCAG
RNAcentral lists this ribosomal RNA (345 nucleotides) under uncultured Planctomycetota bacterium. RNAcentral's name for it is "bacterial SSU rRNA". It matches the Rfam family "Bacterial small subunit ribosomal RNA", at positions 29 to 351 of the family's 1533-position model. The record is from RNAcentral. Lineage: Bacteria; Pseudomonadati; Planctomycetota.